GAUUGCUUUCAGGAAAAUGCCACCUCGUUAAUGGAGAAACCCUAAUUAAAAUUAAAAUGGUUCACAUCUAUUUCCAACGCUGUUCCGACCCAACCUGCUGCAAAUACCCAAAGGCCUCCGAUAACCAGUCCUGUUUUUGCAGAACUGGAGCCUUGCCGCGAGCAAAAACUGCUCAGAGGACUGGAGCUAAAGAGAGAGAGAGAGAAUGCAAGCAGAGGAGAGGGCAGAAGGAGAAAGAGAGAGGAUCCCGAGAAGCCUCCACACUGAGGGAUCCCACGAUCCUGGGAUCAUGACCUGAACCAUAAUCAAGAGUCGGACGCUUAACCAACUGAACCACCCAGGCACCUGCACCAAUAAUUUAAUUCAUACCUUUAUUCUUUAUUAUCCUAAAGAAAGAACCUCUAUUCAUGUUAAAUUUGCAUGGAUUUUUUUGUAAU
Long non-coding RNA from Panthera uncia (snow leopard), 437 nucleotides. RefSeq lists it as uncharacterized. The transcript is spliced from 3 exons. NCBI's taxonomy places the organism in Eukaryota, Metazoa, Chordata, Mammalia, Carnivora, Felidae. The record is from RefSeq and is a predicted model, not a curated record.